Long non-coding RNA from Oncorhynchus tshawytscha (Chinook salmon), 1989 nucleotides. NCBI's taxonomy places the organism in Eukaryota, Metazoa, Chordata, Actinopteri, Salmoniformes, Salmonidae. The record is from Ensembl.
UUCAUUUGUUAAUUACUUUUAUUUAAAUGAACUAAGUACCACUCAACCUCAGCAAAACAGUUGGUCAAGGUGAAAAGGCUUAACAUUGUCUCAAUCCAAAGGUAUUACUAGUCAGCUAACAAAUUAAUGGUGUUUAUUAGGAUCCUAUCAAACACUGAUAGUAACCAGAUAGGAAAAAAUGUCCUGCUUGCUAUUUGCUGCCUUUCUUGUGCCCAAGGCUGUGAAUUCCUACUGCCAGUGGGCGAAUGGAGUUUUCCGUUCAAGAUGAUAUUUUCAUCUCUGCCGGGUAGCCCCCCACUCAUAGGACUGCCACUCACUUGAUGAACAAUACCCACGAUCAAAUACCUGAACGUAAUCUGAUUAAACUAGUUGAGGUGUAAUACAUGUCCUGUGGACAUUAUUUACCUUUAUUUAAUCAGGGAGUCACCAUUGAGACCAGUGUCUCUUUCAAGCGCUGCAUAUACAAUUUCAUAAAAUACAUAUAAUAUAAUAUAAGUACUACUUUACCUGGAAGUCAGCUGAUAAGGGACAUGAGGGAAUUAUUUUGACUAUGUGACGUGACUAAGAGGGACUCUACCCUAAUCAUCAUUCCUUCCAGUCAUUGUCAAUCCUGGAGUGAGAAUGGAAGAGCGUAGCAGAAAGAGAGCUUUUGUGCUUACUGCCUCAUGCGGCACAUGAGAGUCGACUUCACUAAUCGGGUUCAACAUACAUUAUACUUCAAAGUACAAACUAGUUGUGAAUUGGAUACAGGCAGACUUAGGUCUGCUAUUCAUUUGCUGAGAAAAUCACAUUCCCAACCAUGUGACCUGAUCAGGGAAAAACUCCUGACCCUAAAGUCAGCCAACAUUAGUAGCCAGUAUUGGCACACUCCACAGGAAGCCUGCGGAGGAGAGCUAACCCUUCCUCCACCCCAUCCCCUCCCUGAGACAUCCUCUCCUCCUCUUCCUCCACCCCCAUGUAGGAGAUGUGUGGGGAGGCCAGGGCCUCUUCCUUUAUGCAGGGGCCAUACUCCAGUGGCAGCAGCCUCUCGCUUUCGUGGAGUAGAGGCUGGUGGUUGGGCUGAUUGGGCUGGUUGUCCAUCGCUAGUUCCAGGUUGAAGAGGAGGGAGAAGCCCAGGGGGUCAAGGUGGCUCUCGGUUGGGGUGUUGGGGGUCUCGGUUGUGUAAUGGGUGCUGGUGGUGGACAGCUGGAACCGCAGGACAGAGCGACGGCGCUGUUGUGGAGGAGAAUCCUCUGCACUCUUAAACUGUGUAUGUGUUUCUUUGGCAGAUGCCAGAAAGCAUAGGGGCCAGAAUCUGAUAAGAUUGAAGGGCCACAACCUGACAGGAUUGCAGGGCCACAACCUGAUAGGAUUGCAGGGCCACAACCUGAUAGGAUUGCAGGGCCACAACCUGGCAGGACCACCGUGCCAAAAUCUGACAGGACCAGAGGGCCACAACCUAAAAGCAUCGCAAAACAGAGUGUAAGAGAGAGCACUGGCUGCACUAGCCUGACAGAAAGUGUUAUGGAAAAGUACUUGGUAGAAGAGAGAUUAAAACAAACAUGUCUAACAGACAGGAGCUACCCACCGGGCAAUAGCAGAUCAACAUUCAAUUUUGAUUGAUACAUAAUUGCCCACAGUUUAAAAUGAACCACACGUAGCAACCCUGUAGUCAAGUUUGUUGAUGUCAGGAUUAACCUGAUAAGAAAUUCUAUUGAAAUAUGAUUCAUCAACCACGUUGAUUUCAGACAGUAUGUUGAAAUAACAAAUGGUGACUCAACCAUUUCUAACCUGAUGGGGAGGCUCUUGCCAAUAACAACAUGGUGUUUGUGUGGCACAUGAUUUCCAGUAACUGGGAUCGCUGACUUACAGCUGAUAUGAUCUGACAGUCACGUCUCACCUGUGCAUGAGGUUCUUCCUGGGGUGAGAGAGCUUUAGAAGGAAUGGCACAGCCAUUUCCACACCCGGCCACAGCCACUUCCCUGGGACUUGGCGGAGCCAACACAGAAC